GGUUGUGGCUCAGUGGUAGAGCGCUUGCCUAGCAUGCAUGAGGCACUAGGUUUGAUCCCCAGCACCA
This 67-nucleotide transfer RNA is filed under the name Marmota monax (woodchuck). Its description in RNAcentral is "tRNA.Ala". It matches the Rfam family "tRNA". Rfam says of the family: Transfer RNA (tRNA) molecules are approximately 80 nucleotides in length. Their secondary structure includes four short double-helical elements and three loops (D, anti-codon, and T loops). The record is from RNAcentral. Lineage: Eukaryota; Metazoa; Chordata; Mammalia; Rodentia; Sciuridae.